UUUUUUUUUUUUUUUGGUUUUGCUUGCUCAUUCAGCACAGUCCCAGUUUUGGAGCCCUUGGUUUUGUGAGUCGGUAUCUGAUGCCAUGAGAAGUGCUUAUGUGGAGGAGGGUUGCCUACGAGAAAGCAAGAUAUAUUGAAGAUAAUGAUCCUACUUCUGGAUGGGAGAUAACAGCGAGACAAACACACAGCUCUUGACUUGCAUGAGAAGCUGCAGAGAGGACCAUGUAUGAAGACAGAGCAGUGUCACGACUGCUGUUUCAUGCUGCAUAAUAGACUUUAUCAGUCAGCCCCAGAAACCAAUCUUCUUCCAGUCUCCAGCACAGUCAUCAUCAAUCACACCUGAAUCAGCAAUAUUCUGCAAGAUAGUGGAUCCACUUGAACAUUUCACAGCCUUAUGCCAGAUUAAACCAUAUUUAGAAGUCACUGAAUUCCUGAUGUUUUUAGAGGAAAAUAUCCCUGGGAGGAAAACCCUCUGAGAUUUCAUUGAAGUAAUCUACACUCUGAAGUGAUGGGAGCAGAAGGCAGAUCGAGAUUGUGUUGCAACUAUGGAGUAAGAUCUAUAUUUAUAGUGUGAAGAGAAUUUGUACAGAAGCCACAGUUGUCUCUCUGCCUGGCGUGACAUAUCUGUUCUGCAAUAAUGUUGUGUAACCUUCUGAAGAGCAACCUCCACUUUCUUGUGAAGAAGGAGCUAUCUCUUUGAAAUACUGUUGUGGCAGCCAUCAAAAAGGUGCGAUAUGAAAUGUUUAUUCACAGACAGAUCCCAGUUAUUAACUGAAACGAAACAUAUGUGAU
RNAcentral lists this long non-coding RNA (794 nucleotides) under Struthio camelus australis. RNAcentral describes it as "lncRNA (ENSSCUG00000012094.1)". Lineage: Eukaryota; Metazoa; Chordata; Aves; Struthioniformes; Struthionidae. The record is from RNAcentral.